GGGUUUUUCUCAUUCAAUAAGCGGAGGAAAAGAANACCAACAGGGAUUGCCCUAGUAACGGCGAGUGAAGCGGCAACAGCUCAAAUUUGAAAUCUGGCUUCGGCCCGAGUUGUAAUUUGCAGAGGAAGCUUUAGGCGCGGCACCUUCUGAGUCCCCUGGAACGGGGCGCCAUAGAGGGUGAGAGCCCCGUAUAGUUGGAUGCCUAGCCUGUGUAAAGCUCCUUCGACGAGUCGAGUAGUUUGGGAAUGCUGCUCAAAAUGGGAGGUAAAUUUCUUCUAAAGCUAAAUACCGGCCAGAGACCGAUAGCGCACAAGUAGAGUGAUCGAAAGAUGAAAAGCACUUUGAAAAGAGGGUUAAAUAGCACGUGAAAUUGUUGAAAGGGAAGCGCUUGUGACCAGACUUGCGCCGGGCGGAUCAUCCGGUGUUCUCACCGGUGCACUCCGCCCGGCUCAGGCCAGCAUCGGUUCUCGCGGGGGGAUAAAGGUCCUGGGAACGUAGCUCCUCCGGGAGUGUUAUAGCCCGGGGCGUAAUGCCCUCGCGGGGACCGAGGUUCGCGCAUCUGCAAGGAUGCUGGCGUAAUGGUCAUCAGCGACCCGUCUUGAAACACGGACCAAGGAGUCAAGGUUUUGCGCGAGUGUUUGGGUGUAAAACCCGCACGCGUAAUGAAAGUGAACGUAGGUGAGAGCUUCGGCGCAUCAUCGACCGAUCCUGAUGUUUUCGGAUGGAUUUGAGUAGGAGCGUUAAGCCUUGGACCCGAAAGAUGGUGAACUAUGCUUGGAUAGGGUGAAGCCAGAGGAAACUCUGGUGGAGGCUCGCAGCGGUUCUGACGUGCAAAUCGAUCGUCAAAUCUGAGCAUGGGGGCGAAAGACUAAUCGAACCAUCUAGUAGCUGUACCAAAAUUUCUCUCUCUCUCUCCGGAGAGAAAG
Molecule: ribosomal RNA, 926 nt
Filed under: Chaetomium anastomosans
Lineage: Eukaryota; Fungi; Ascomycota; Sordariomycetes; Sordariales; Chaetomiaceae
Description: partial large subunit ribosomal RNA
Rfam family: Eukaryotic large subunit ribosomal RNA
Source: RNAcentral